This 512-nucleotide ribosomal RNA is filed under the name uncultured bacterium. RNAcentral's name for it is "bacterial SSU rRNA". It matches the Rfam family "Bacterial small subunit ribosomal RNA", at positions 15 to 518 of the family's 1533-position model. The record is from RNAcentral.
GAUCCUGGCUUAGGAUGAACGCUAGCUACAGGCUUAACACAUGCAAGUCGAGGGGCAGCAUGUGGUGCUGCAACCAAUGAUGGCGACCGGCGCACGGGUGAGUAACGCGUAUCCAACCUUCCCCUUAGUAGAGGAUAGCCCGGCGAAAGUCGGAUUAAUACUCUAUGUUCUUCAAUGCGGGCAUCUAAGUUGAAGCAAAGAUUUAUCGCUAAGGGAUGGGGAUGCGUCUGAUUAGGUUGCAGGCGGGGUAACGGCCCACCUGGCCUACGAUCAGUAGGGGUUCUGAGAGGAAGGUCCCCCACACUGGUACUGAGACACGGACCAGACUCCUACGGGAGGCAGCAGUGAGGAAUAUUGGUCAAUGGGCGCGAGCCUGAACCAGCCAAGUAGCGUGCAAGGACGACUGCCCUAUGGGUUGUAAACUGCUUUUAUCAGGGAAUAAAGUGAGGCACGCGUGCCUUUUUGUAUGUACCUGAUGAAUAAGGACCGGCUAAUUCCGUGCCAGCCGCCGC